RNAcentral lists this ribosomal RNA (497 nucleotides) under uncultured bacterium. RNAcentral describes it as "partial 16S ribosomal RNA". It matches the Rfam family "Bacterial small subunit ribosomal RNA", at positions 28 to 507 of the family's 1533-position model. The record is from RNAcentral.
GAUGAACGCUGGCGGCGUGCCUAAUACAUGCAAGUCGAGCGAACGGACGAGAAGCUUGCUUCUCUGAUGUUAGCGGCGGACGCGUGAGUAAAACGUGGAUAACCUACCUAUAAGACUGGGAUAACUUCGGGAAACCGGAGCUAAUACCGGAUAAUAUUUUGAACCGCAUGGUUCAAAAGUAAAAGACGGUCUUGCUGUCACUUAUAGAUGGAUCAGCGCUGCAUUAGCUAGUUGGUAAGGUAACGGCUUACCAAGGCAACGAUGCAUAGCCGACCUGAGAGGGUGAUCGGCCACACUGGAACUGAGACACGGUCCAGACUCCUACGGGAGGCAGCAGUAGGGAAUCUUCCGCAAUGGGCGAAAGCCUGACGGAGCAACGCCGCGUGAGUGAUGAAGGUCUUCGGAUCGUAAAACUCUGUUAUUAGGGAAGAACAUAUGUGUAAGUAACUGCGCACAUCUUGACGGUACCUAAUCAGAAAGCCACGGCUAACUACGUG